AAAUUGAAGAGUUUGAUCAUGGCUCAGAUUGAACGCUGGCGGCAGGCCUAACACAUGCAAGUCGAACGGUAGCACAGAGGAGCUUGCUCCUUGGGUGACGAGUGGCGGACGGGUGAGUAAUGUCUGGGAAACUGCCCGAUGGAGGGGGAUAACUACUGGAAACGGUAGCUAAUACCGCAUAACG
Molecule: ribosomal RNA, 184 nt
Filed under: Citrobacter freundii
Lineage: Bacteria; Pseudomonadati; Pseudomonadota; Gammaproteobacteria; Enterobacterales; Enterobacteriaceae
Description: partial 16S ribosomal RNA
Rfam family: Bacterial small subunit ribosomal RNA
Source: RNAcentral